CAUAAGUUUUCCUUCAAGUAACUGUAAAAAAAAAUCCAACGUCAAUUUAGAAAAAAAUUUAUGAACAUAAUAUGAAAUUAAUUUUUUUAUGAAAUCGAGUAAAAUAACGAUAUAUUACAAUUUAAAUAUAGGUAAAAGUGGUUAUAAAACUAAUAGAUCUGCUACAAAAAAUUGGGUUUAAAAUCAUGAUGAAAUAUAACAUUGAUACUUGGUGCCAACAUUAUAUAACCAAAUUAUAUACAAAAAAAACAAAAGUUCAAAACACAGGACCAGUAAUUUAAGCUCACCGAUGAAGAUAUCAAAACCAUUGGGGAUAAAUCAAAAGACAACAAGAAACAUGUUAAAUUAUUAUUGUUAAAAUAAACCUAGAAAUAUUAUUUAAUUAAUUAUCUUGUAUGUUGAAAUAAAUAAUAUUUAAGAUUCGUGGAACCCACUGUUUUAUUUGUAUUCUUAGUAUUUACUCGUAAGGUAAAAGUGCUUGUCAUUAAUAAAUUAUUUAUCUAAAUUUA
Long non-coding RNA from Rhopalosiphum padi (bird cherry-oat aphid), 509 nucleotides. RefSeq lists it as uncharacterized. The transcript has 2 exons. The record is from RefSeq and is a predicted model, not a curated record. Lineage: Eukaryota; Metazoa; Arthropoda; Insecta; Hemiptera; Aphididae.